ACGCUCGACACCUACGAGGCAGCAGUGGGGAAUAUUGCACAAUGGGGGAAACCCUGAUGCAGNGACGCCGCGUGAGUGAAGAAGUAUUUCGGUAUGUAAAGCUCUAUCAGCAGGGAAGAGAAUGACGGUACCUGACUAAGAAGCCCCGGCUAACUACGUCNCNNNCGCGAGUAUNGCGGCGUGNGAGACG
RNAcentral lists this ribosomal RNA (190 nucleotides) under uncultured bacterium. Its description in RNAcentral is "partial 16S ribosomal RNA". It matches the Rfam family "Bacterial small subunit ribosomal RNA", at positions 326 to 536 of the family's 1533-position model. The record is from RNAcentral.